GGAGCUGCAAACUGCCCUCAGGGCAAAGAAGCCUGCAGAAUAAUUGGGAGGAGUCUGGCAGGAAGGAAGCCAAGUUUCCUGAGGCCCUCACCAGAAGCUCAUCAGAAGCAGAUGCUGGCACCACUCUUCUUAUGCUGUCUGCGUAACUAAUCAGUAUUUCAAGCAUCCAAAAUGUGUAGGAGAAUAUGGACCCAAGAACGGAGCAGAGAGACAAAUAGAGGAACGGAAAGUUUUGCCUACAACCAUGAUGUUCUCAAUGUUAGCUGACUGUGUUCUAAAAUCCACUCCAAUUCCCAUUUUGGGAGUUGCUAUGUGAUGAAGGUCUGCCCCUGUGGUGUUGGGACAACUUGCUCAUGGAGUUGCAGUUCUUGCCUAACAGGAACCCACCAUGAAAGCACAAGCAAGAAUGUGUGAGAAGAUCACAGAGACCUAAAGAAGGGGAAGGGAAGAACCCACAUGUGAGAGAGAAGAGAUUGUCUGACUUGUCAGUGUUCCUAAUUGCACUGCCCCUGGAAAACGCACGGAGAAGAAAUACAGCAAAAUACAUGAGAUGGUGAAACACUCUGGCAACUGCAAGCGGACAGAUGGGAUCUGGGAGGUAAUGCAGGGUCACAGGGCAGUUACACCAGGAUAUUUGGUUCUUUCCUACUCUCCUUUCCCCACCCUCAAUGCUAUAUACAUAACUGCUAGUGAAUCAAUUUAUGUACAUAUCCCAGAUAUCUAGGACUGGUUGAGGCGGGUUAUCCAAGAGAGUCACAGUGUAUUACCAUUUUUUAUUAAGUACAACCAGACCAACAGAGAACUGAUUAACUCAACCACUGAACUUUAUGUUUUCCCCCAUCAUCUAUAGAAUUGAUUUUACUGGAUUUUGACAUGUCAGUUUAUCACUUACUUUAUCCUUCAGUGAAGGACACACUAAGGAAUGGAGUUAUUAAGCUUGUUCUACUGGCUGUGAGGAUGUUGUUGAGGGACAUUGUUCAUGACGUUAUGUUGUGUCAUUUUUAUGAGGACUCAAUGGAAGGACUUCUGUCUGAUUUCAGUACUGGAAGUAGUCAUACUUCUCCUGAGCAACCAUUUUCUUUCUCCGUUAUAAAAAUCUCAUUGUCUCUGUGAA
RNAcentral lists this long non-coding RNA (1114 nucleotides) under Homo sapiens (human). RNAcentral's name for it is "long intergenic non-protein coding RNA 3122". The record is from RNAcentral. Lineage: Eukaryota; Metazoa; Chordata; Mammalia; Primates; Hominidae.